This 586-nucleotide ribosomal RNA is filed under the name uncultured bacterium. RNAcentral describes it as "partial 16S ribosomal RNA". It matches the Rfam family "Bacterial small subunit ribosomal RNA", at positions 355 to 1375 of the family's 1533-position model. The record is from RNAcentral.
UGGGGAAUUUUGGACAAUGGGCGAAAGCCUGAUCCAGCAAUGCCGCGUGUGUGAAGAAGGCCUUCGGGUUGUAAAGCACUUUUGUCCGGAAAGAAAUCCUUGGCUCUAAUACAGUCGGGGGAUGACGGUACCGGAAGAAUAAGCACCGGCUAACUACGUGCCAGCAGCCGCGGUAAUACGUAGGGUGCAAGCGUUAAUCGGAAUUACUGGGCGUAAAGCGUGCGCAGGCGGUUUGCUAAGACCGAUGUGAAAUCCCCGGGCUCAACCUGGGAACUGCAUUGGUGACUGGCAGGCUAGAGUAUGGCAGAGGGGGGUAGAAUUCCACGUGUAGCAGUGAGAUGCGUAGAGAUGUGGAGGAAUACCGAUGGCGAAGGCAGCCCCCCUGGGCCAAUACUGACGCUCAUGCACGAAAGCGUGGGGAGCAAACAGGAUUAGAUACCCUGGUAGUCCACGCCCUAAACGAUGUCAACUAGUUGUUGGGGAUUCAUUUCCUUAGUAACGUAGCUAACGCGUGAAGUUGACCGCCUGGGGAGUACGGUCGCAAGAUUAAAACUUAAAUGAAUUGACGGGGUCAUAGCUGUUUCCU